UAGUAAUAACACAGGAAGAGAGACAAUGCUUUGCAAAGGUACAGUAGUAAUAACACAGGAAGAGAGACAAUGCUUUGCAAAGGUACAGUAGUAAUAACACAGCAAGAGAGACAAUGCUUUGCAAAGGUACAGUAGUAAUAACACAGGAAGAGAGACAAUACUUUGCAAAGGUACAGUAGUAAUAACACAGCAAGAGAGACAAUGCUUUGCAAAGGUACAGCAGUAAUAACACAGCAAGAGAGACAAUGCUUUGCAAAGGUACAGUAGUAAUAACACAGGAAGAGAGACAAUGCUUUGCUAAGGUACAGCAGUAAUAACACAGGAAGAGAGACAAUGCUUUGCAAAGGUACAGUAGUAAUAACACAGGAAGAGAGACAAUGCUUUGCAAAGGUACAAUAGUAAUAACACAGGAAGAGAGACAAUACUUUGCAAAGGUACCGUAGUAAUAACACAGGAAGAGAGACAAUACUUUGCAAAGGUACAGUAGUAAUAACACAGGAAGAGAGACAAUGCUUUGCAAAGGUACAAUAGUAAUAACACAGGAAGAGAGACAAUGCUUUGCAAAGGUACAGCAGUAAUAACACAGGAAGAGAGACAAUGCUUUGCAAAGGUACAAUAGUAAUAACACAGGAAGAGAGACAAUGCUUUGCAAAGGUACAGUAGUAAUAACACAGGAAGAGAGACAAUGCUUUGCAAAGGUACAAUAG
Long non-coding RNA from Nematostella vectensis (starlet sea anemone), 707 nucleotides. RefSeq lists it as uncharacterized. NCBI's taxonomy places the organism in Eukaryota, Metazoa, Cnidaria, Anthozoa, Actiniaria, Edwardsiidae. The record is from RefSeq and is a predicted model, not a curated record. The transcript is spliced from 2 exons.